This 362-nucleotide ribosomal RNA is filed under the name Campylodiscus cf. hibernicus ECR-2011. RNAcentral's name for it is "eukaryotic LSU rRNA". It matches the Rfam family "Eukaryotic large subunit ribosomal RNA", at positions 98 to 476 of the family's 3401-position model. Lineage: Eukaryota; Bacillariophyta; Bacillariophyceae; Surirellales; Surirellaceae. The record is from RNAcentral.
GCGCCAAUAGCCCAGGCUGUGAAUUGGCACUUGUGUCGAAUUGUGGAAUGCUGGUCAGUCUGUCCAACUUGCGGACCAAGUCCCCUGGAAUGGGGCAGCACAGAGGGUGAGACUCCCAUACGUCUGCGGGUGUGAAGGCUGUCCGAAGAGUCGAGUUGUUUGGGAUUGCAGCUCUAAGUGGGUGGUAAAUUCCAUCCAAGGCUAAAUACUGGUGAGAGACUGAUAGCAUACAAGUACCGUGAGGGAAAGAUGCAAAGCCGCACGAGAGCUCUGUCAAAGAGUACCUGAAAUUGCUGAAAAGGAAGCGAAGGAAACCAGUGCUAUCCACCCCGCACUUCCCCAACUGCUUGCAGCUGGGUCGC